CCUACGGGAGGCAGCAGUGGGGAAUUUUGGACAAUGGGCGCAAGCCUGAUCCAGCAAUGCCGCGUGCAGGAUGAAGGCCUUCGGGUUGUAAACUGCUUUUGUACGGAACGAAACGGCCCUUUCUAAUACAAGGGGCUAAUGACGGUACCGUAAGAAUAAGCACCGGCUAACUACGUGCCAGCAGCCGCGGUAAUACGUAAGGUGCGAGCGUUAAUCGGAAUUACUGGGCGUAAAGCGAGCGCAGGCGGUUAUAUAAGACAGAUGUGAAAUCCCCGGGCUCAACCUGGGACCUGCAUUUGUGACUGUAUAGCUAGAGUACGGUAGAGGGGGAUGGAAUUCCGCGUGUAGCAGUGAAAUGCGUAGAUAUGCGGAGGAACACCGAUGGCGAAGGCAAUCCCCUGGACCUGUACUGACGCUCAUGCACGAAAGCGUGGGGAGCAAACAGGAUUAGAUACCCUGGUAGUCCACGCCCUAAACGAUGUCAACUGGUUGUUGGGUCUUCACUGACUCAGUAACGAAGCUAACGCGUGAAGUUGACCGCCUGGGGAGUACGGCCGCAAGGUUGAAACGUCAAAGNGAGUGCGUGNGAGUAGCGACGAGACACGAGGAGGAGG
RNAcentral lists this ribosomal RNA (614 nucleotides) under uncultured bacterium. RNAcentral's name for it is "bacterial SSU rRNA". It matches the Rfam family "Bacterial small subunit ribosomal RNA", at positions 338 to 950 of the family's 1533-position model. The record is from RNAcentral.